RNAcentral lists this RNase P RNA (260 nucleotides) under Clostridia bacterium. RNAcentral describes it as "partial RNase P RNA component class A". It matches the Rfam family "Bacterial RNase P class A", at positions 88 to 367 of the family's 367-position model. Rfam says of the family: Ribonuclease P (RNase P) is a ubiquitous endoribonuclease, found in archaea, bacteria and eukarya as well as chloroplasts and mitochondria. Its best characterised activity is the generation of mature 5'-ends of tRNAs by cleaving the 5'-leader elements of precursor-tRNAs. Cellular RNase Ps are ribonucleoproteins. The record is from RNAcentral. Lineage: Bacteria; Bacillati; Bacillota; Clostridia.
CCGCAGGUGACUGCCGGGAAAGUGCAACAGAAAUAAACCGCCCGCAAGGGUAAGGAUGGAAAGGCGAGGUAAGAGCUCACCCGUUCCUAUGGUAACAUAGGUCCGCUGUAAACCCUAUCCGAAGCAACACCGUAUAAGGGACGCCUGCCCGGCACAUGUCCCUUGGGUGGCACGGGAGCGAUCCCGAAGCGUUGUGGCGACACGGCGCGCAGAUAGAUGACCGUUCACGACAGAACCCGGCUUAUCGGUGGAGUUAUACA